Molecule: ribosomal RNA, 421 nt
Filed under: uncultured bacterium
Lineage: Bacteria
Description: bacterial SSU rRNA
Rfam family: Bacterial small subunit ribosomal RNA
Source: RNAcentral
CGGCCGCGUCGACGAACGGGUGAGUAACGCGUAGGUAACCUGCCUUGUAGCGGGGGAUAACUAUUGGAAACGAUAGCUAAUACCGCAUAACAAUGGAUGACACAUGUCAUUUAUUUGAAAGGGGCAAUUGUUCCACUACAAGAUGGACCUGCGUUGUAUUAGCUAGUAGGUGAGGUAAUGGCUCACCUAGGCGACGAUACAUAGCCGACCUGAGAGGGUGAUCGGCCACACUGGGACUGAGACACGGCCCAGACUCCUACGGGAGGCAGCAGUGGGGAAUUUUCCGCAAUGGGCGAAAGCCUGACGGAGCAAGACCGCGUGGGGGAAGAAGGCUCUUGGGUUGUAAACCCCUUUUCUCUGGGAAGAAAGUUGUGAAAGCAACCUGACGGUACCAGAGGAAUCAGCAUCGGCUAACUCCGUG